Molecule: long non-coding RNA, 2074 nt
Organism: Anopheles gambiae (African malaria mosquito)
Lineage: Eukaryota; Metazoa; Arthropoda; Insecta; Diptera; Culicidae
Exons: 2
Source: RefSeq, a predicted model, not a curated record
ACGGGCGCCUCUUCCUCCGCUCCACAUUGGUGCGAAGGGAGCGCAAUACAUAGCACCGCUGAAGGCUUCCGAAUGAGGCUUCUAAAAUCAAUACACACACUGAAUGGUGUUUUCCACCACCACACAACAAGCAAACGCGUUUUGUGUUGUCACAAAGAAAUGUGUCUGUCGCGCCAUCGUUUGUGCCUGGUUGCAACCUGUUUCCGACUCCGUACCUUGCCGCGUGUGUGUGUGUGUGUAUCGAUUGCUCCCCGAUAUUAUUUUUGCCCUACCGGCCAGAGGGGGGAAAUGGAGAAAAUUAUCAACUAUAAAUGUCUCCAUGGCACACUUUUGCGCUCGGAGUCGUACACCAGUGCACACCCUAAUUCGUGAAGCUUUGCCAAAAUGUGCACGCAAGGACCUCAAAAAUACACUUUGUUUGAAGAUUCGGUGGCUAGAAUGGGCUUCAGCCGUUUCUAAAUAAAGACCAGAUGCAUUGCACGAUUGAUUUCCCUUCACCUGCCAGAAGUCCACCGUACACGUGUGUCGCAUUAUCGGCCAAUUUCCGCCCCACAAGAAGAAGAAUAUUUAAAUGUUUGCAGCAAUUUGGAAGCAACGGCCAACAAACACCGCACGAUGAGGGGUUUAGUGCACUAGGCUCGAUAACGGUUGGACGAUAACAUAGCACAGAAACCCAUCCCUUCUCCCCGUGCUGCCAUGUUAUGCAUGCACAUGGGCAUGCUUUUGGCACCGUGUGCGAAGGGAAAGCAUCGGACUGCCCAAUGUGACCGCAGCGAGCGCGCGCACACGCGAGAUAAAGUGUAAUACACAUUAUAGUGCAGUGAAGGAAAGACACAAAAGAACGAACCAAACCGACGUGCACCAGGGCGUUGUGGACACGCUGGGAGAGCGCGACUUUCCCAAACCGGUCACAUUCCUUCCGGUCAGUAUCAGCCCGCAGCCGCCGUGAGGCGACAUUUUACAGUGAGCGGUGCUCUGUUCGGUAGUGCCAACCCCGGUUUGGGAUGGUAGUGCCGGGGUAGUAAAAUCGGGAGCAGUUAAACCAUCCCAAUUGCGGCAGCAGAAACCAUCGCACCGGGCGAGAGAGUGCGCGCGAUGCUGAAGCAAACUGUCACACUAGUGUGUACGCUCUUUUUUCGGGGGGACGGAUGAUGCUGCCGGUUCGAGCGAUUCUUACGUCGUCGUGCAUCAUCAUCAUCAUCAUCACCGUCGUCGUCGUCGCCGCCGUGUGCCCUCUUCUCAAGGGUCCAGCAGCACCCGAUUACAAAUCACUUUUCUAGCCGGAUGCCACCAGCCGACCCGGUAGAAGCCGUCUGUGUCGCGGGUACAGCAGAAGCAACCGUGUACGGUGGCGAAAAAUCGAAACGAAUCAGAGAAAAUCGACCACCACACAGACCGUCGACACACCACGCGCGCCGCAGGUAGCGAGACACCGAAAACUUGAAAAAAUGCCGAAAAAUGCACCGAUCUGCUCACCGGAAAGCGCUGAAGGAUGGUGGGUCGGCCUUAAUUUGCCAGUGUGCCGCGUUGUGAAUGGUGUUGAAAAAACUACUAUUUUCGGGAUUAAUGAGAGAAGUGUGGGGAAGCGUGUGUAGCUCAAAACAAAGAUAAUACAAAACUAGCGAGCGGUUCUGAGGGAAAACACACUCGCAACUACGUACGGCAAACGGGACAACGCGAAUCACUGUGACAGGCACGAUAUCACGCACACUAGCGCCGGCAGGCAAUCGGAAUACGUCUGGGCGUUCUAUGUGUGCGUGUGUAUGUGCAGUGUGUAUGCGCAUUGCCACCUUGCACCACUACAGCCCAAUGGCGUGUGCUUGAUGGAUGCGUUUUCGCUUGCUCGUUGAAAGGUUCGAGCCGGCUUGUAUUAUAUGCUGGAGGGAGAAUUUAUAUUAACUGUACCAAGAAUUUGGCUUAAGUAACGAGAAUGAUAGGAUGAAAAUGAAUAGUUCUUUUUAAAAUCUGUUAAAAACGUCCAAAACCGUCCAAAUACUAAAGAGAAGCCACUCAAGGUAGAACAUGUGGAGCUGGCUUGAAAAUAGAAAUGGAAUUGGCACAGCAAGUAAGAAAA